Drosophila nasuta is the source of this 761-nucleotide long non-coding RNA. RefSeq lists it as uncharacterized. The record is from RefSeq and is a predicted model, not a curated record. Lineage: Eukaryota; Metazoa; Arthropoda; Insecta; Diptera; Drosophilidae. The transcript is spliced from 4 exons.
CCCAAAAUUCAAUAUUUAAUAUAGGAAAUAAUUUUAACUAUUUACUAGAUUAAAUUUUAAAUCUAAACAAAAUGUAGCAUUAUCUCUUCUUCUUCCUAACUGACUGAUUUUUUUCACAAGGUAAACUGUGAAUGGUAUAUUCUAGAAGGCUGAGCUUUUCAUCCAUUCACUCAAUUAUCAAAACACAGGCGAAAUAGUAAUAGCUGGUAGCUCGAAAUUUGCUAUCACUGUAUAAACUGUUAAAGCUCAGACCAAUUGGUAAGAGCUUGGAGGCUGAAAAUUUGUAUCACUGUCUCUGCUAUCAAAGUACAGAACAAAGGGUAACUUCUAGGAGGCUGAAAAUUUUAAUUAUUGUAUAAGCUAUUAAUGCAUAGAACAAAUGCGGUAAGAGCUAGGAGGCUGACAACUUCCAUGACUGACUCAAGUAUCAAAGCACAGGUCAAAUGGUAUGAGCUUUGAGGCCGAAAGUUGUUAUCAUUGAAUAAGUUAUUAAUGUGCAAAGAAAAUGGUAAGAGCUAAAAGGCUAAACGCUGUAUUUGACUGACAACAACGCACACGCUAAAUGAAUGUUGAAAUUUUUAACUUUUAACGCACGGUCCAAAGGUGGUCGCGUGGUAUAAUAAAAAAAAGCAGAGAAACAGCAGCGGCAACUAAAACUAACUAUAGCCUCAGUCUUGGCAUGGGGAUAAAAGUUAAAGUAGUAAAAUUAAAUAAUUUAUUUUUUUAAUUUGUUAAAUACUCCAAGUUAGCAACGAAAAAUU